GAUGGCUUGUUGUGUGGUUAAAAAGGUAAAUUCCAUCUCAAAAUACAAACCAUUUAGAGCACAUCUUCUGAACAGAAAGUGAUACAAAUCCGAGCCAGGACUGAUGAGGGAUGUCUGCAGAGAGUAGGGUAAGGAGCACAAAUAUCCUAUUCCUGUUUCCUCGGCUCAGGGAGCCUCUUGACUCAGAAGGGCUCAGCAGGCAGGAGAACACCCAAUCCAAAGGUGUCAGACACCUGUUUCUCUUAAUUUCCUCAUUUUCAGGAAAAGGGCGGUCUCUAGUUCAGACAACUUUCAUUUUCCCCCAUUCUUUUCUUUCUUAGUUGCCUUUUGCUGCUCACACACACCCAGGUCAGACCUAUCCUACACCAACCCUGAAAGGAAAGCUCAGCUCUGUGCAAUUUGGUCAAGCCCCAGUGCUGGGGUUGGCCAGAUGAGGCGUUGGUGGCACCUCUGUGGGAAGGGGAACUCCCUGCUCAGUCCUGGAGCCAGCCGUGCUCCUCUUAGGCAGUCUGCCUGCUUUCUCUGCUUGUUUAAGGCCUUAGCUUUGGCUCCUGUUGAGUGCGGGGAAGUACAAGUGUGAUGACUGCUUCUCACUCCCUCCAAGACUCCAGGUUUGACUCUUAGAGGACAAGCCAUUCUCAGCUCUUACACAUUGUACACCAACACUGGAAAGUUCAGCUCUGUGGGGCAGAAGACUGUGCAUUUUCAUCCAGCCCUAGUGCUCACAUUGAUCAGAUAAAUGGCAGAGAAAGAAGCUCUCACUAGCCUGACCUGGAAGAGCACAAUGGAGAUCCCAGCCCUCGGUCGUCCCUUACAUCUGGGAACACUAUAUGAUUGUCGCUCGGAUAUCCUCGUCCCUGGUGUCACUUUAUGGGACAAGGAGACUCUAGAGAGAAAUGUGACCACAGAAGACCAAUGCAAGACUGAGUUUGACAUCAUCACCUCUGACUCCAUGGAGGAAAAGACCAAUGCCAUGAACAUCACCGGAGAGCUGAA
This is a long non-coding RNA of Antechinus flavipes (yellow-footed antechinus), 996 nucleotides long. RefSeq lists it as uncharacterized. The record is from RefSeq and is a predicted model, not a curated record. Lineage: Eukaryota; Metazoa; Chordata; Mammalia; Dasyuromorphia; Dasyuridae. The transcript is spliced from 4 exons.